Molecule: long non-coding RNA, 8333 nt
Organism: Ostrinia nubilalis (European corn borer)
Lineage: Eukaryota; Metazoa; Arthropoda; Insecta; Lepidoptera; Crambidae
Exons: 3
Source: RefSeq, a predicted model, not a curated record
UGUGCUUUGAAACAGUUCAAAAGUUUUAUGUUUAUAAAUCAUCACACAAAAAAAACACACACACAAUUUUAAAGGAUCAAUAUUAAUCUUUAAGAUAACGAAGAAUUAUAGCUAUAAUCCUACUUAUUACCAAAUAUUUAGAUAUUUUAAAAAUAGUCCUUUUUUACCUUUCAUACAAAAACCUGUUUGCCACCCUAGCUUUUUCAUGUAUUUUUGUUUCAUAAAAUGCGAUACGUAACUAAAUUAUUGUAAAUUUCUUUAUAAUAUCGUUCUACAGUAAUCGCAGUUUCUGUAUCAAAUUGAUUUUCUAUGGGGUGUCAUAAUGAAUUGGCAAUUUAAAGCAAAAAAACAAAAUGAGUCGCUCUCAUUUACUAUUUCGUUAUUUACUCUUUAGUUACGAUUUAUUUCUACUUUCCCAUGGUUUCUGAACAAUUCCGUAUUUAUUUUACACGGACAACAAUAGCUGCACUCUGAAUGGCUGUUGGCCUGACGUCUCCGCCAUUACAUCUAUCGCGAAAAUUAGUGAAAACGUGUGUGUUUUGUGGGAUUACUUUUUCGUAACAGGAAGUAAAAUCAGCGAUUAUAGAACGGAAUGCCGCCAAAAACCAAUGCCGAAAGGCAAAAAGCUUACAGAGAACGACUCAAAAUGGAUAAACAUGAUGGAACAAAAAUAAUUUUAUUAAAAUAGUAUGAAUGAUUCCUCCCUUAUUUUAUUUCUAACCCCUUAAUAUUACCCCGUAUUUGGGUGCAUACUUACAAAUAUUUCGAAUUGAAUAAAUGAAGAGCAUUCACAAUAUUUCGCCAAUGUAUAACAAGCCUUAUGGCCUUACUAUUUCGUUACUACCGUUUCGUUACGUACAUUUUUUUUGAGAAAUACUCACAUGCUAAUUAAUGCCUACAUACAAAUCUCUACAAUCUGAGACUCCGAAUAGACUACUUUAACAAAGCCGACAAGAAGAACAGGCGAAGAAUCUAGUGAAGUUGAAUUUUGAAGAGAGUUUAAUACUACUCACUUUGCUAGUAUUGAUCCUUACUUUCUUGAGUAAUUCUCAAAUCUUCGACAAAGCGACCGAGUCUAUCCAUGAACUACAUUAUAAGUAGGUUUCUGACUCAGGGUAGAAAAUAACUGUUUGUAGAGCUUUCGUUAAGUAACGCUUUAAUUAUUGUUGACACGAAUCUUUGUUGUAAAAAACAUCCGUUUGAUAAGGAUUCUGCGGAUGGUGGAAGGUGUAUACCUACAUACGAGUGUUUAAUACUUCAUUAUCAGAUGGAAAAUUACUAUCUUUCAAGAAGUUUUCCUCGUAAUUACGUUUAGAAUUUUGGAAACCAAUUUGAUAAGUACGAGUAGCCUUACGUUAAGCUUUAGAUCCUCUUAAGUGCACACUGUGAAUUGUCUCAUAGUAAAAGAAAUUUUGACAAAAUUAAUACCGUCUCCAAAAUAGGUGGGCUAAAUAAUUGCGUUAUUCACUUAUUAGGGCGAAAAAUUACCAUGAUUUUAUUACCAUACUCGUAUUAUAUCCAUGGAAAUAUUAUGUACAGUUUAAAAUAUUAAUGAAGAAGAUUUCAAUGCGGAAGAAAAGAAAUUGAUCUAUUUCGGUUGGGGUUUUUAGAUGUACGCUAACAAAAUAAUAUUUCUACGAACUGAAUGACAGCAGAAAACAACGUAAAGGCCGAAGGAAAUAGCGCAUCAACAGUAUUUGUGUACUGUCAGCUGUAAUCUGUGUGUGAUGUGAUAUAAAUGAGUUGUAAAGCUAACAAUAAUAUGUAUUACACGACUGUACAAAUUGUGUCAGCCUCUCACGAGACCCUCACUUGAAUGUAAACUACGCGAGAUAACUAACUAACGAGACGACUCUGAAACGACUGGAUGCUGCCAUAAGUGGAAAACAGAUACGUGGCAAUGGCGUUCAAGGCAACAGUUUUAAACGAAUCAAUUCGAACAAUUAUUUUGAUGGUGGUUGCGUUACCAUUGGUAACGUCGAACAUCGACUGCGGUGGAAAAGCGUUCCAUUGUGUGAACUCGACACAUUUUAUGAUAUGCGUGGAUCUCGGUGGUGGUGUCUCCAGUACCAUUGACAGCUUCGUCAUCCCCUGUCCACCGUCCACUGUGUGCGAAGGAAAUAACCAUUUUGAGUGCGAAUUUCCACGGACAACGACUGUAAUACCUAUAACGGAAAAAAAUGUGCCAAGUGAAUUAAGAUUUAGUGAAACGACAAUUACGGACACUAGUACAACUGUUAUUGAAACCAGGAGUGAAGUUCUUCCAACGGAGGCAAAUUUGAACACCGUGAGUACAACCACAUUGCAAGAAGAUAGUGUUACAACAGAUAUACCAGUUACUGGACCUAGUAUUUCAGAAAGUUCAUCUGAUUAUACAAAUAUAGUGUAUACUUUGACAACAGUACCAGAGGAAAUAACCACUGUUGCAAAUACCAUUGAUAUAUCUGCAACAACUCCCAGUGGUACUAGUUUAGCGGCAGACACAUUAUCACCAUCAACAUUCCCCACCAUAAGCGAUACAUUUACAGAAAACUUUGUAACUACUGAUACGACAUUGUUAAACGAUUCUGAAACUGUGACAAUUAAUGAAAUUUUAUCAGAACAAAGCGUAACGGAGACUUUGAAUAACACUUCUGAUAUUUACGCAACAGAAGGUUACUUUGCUGCUACAAAUGAUGUAAUUGUUUCAACAGUGAAUGAACCAUCUCUUGUAAAUAACACAAUAUCAAGAACAUCUCUUAAAAAUGACGUUAAUGUUACAGAAAAUACUGUAACUAUUGAAAGAUUAUUGUCAAAUUAUUCUGAAUCCGGAAUAAUAAAUGAAGCGAUAACUGAUGAAAUUACCACAGAAAUUGCUAAAAACACAGUAUUAAAAGAUAGUUAUACAACUGAAGGAUACUUUUCUGUUACUAACAAUAAGACCUCAACCAACGUACCAGCCAAAGUAGAGUCAAUGACUUCAAGAAAAACGUUUAAAAAUAAUGAACUCACUGGUUCAGAAAUCAAUAAUACUACUGACAAAUCAAUGUUAGAUUAUACUGAAUCUGUGACAAUAAACGAAACUGUGGCGGAUCAAAUCGUAACGGAAACAACAAUAAACGACGCUGUAACCAAUCUAAUCGUAACGGAAACUGUGACUAACGCAUAUGACAGUUACACUACAGAAAGAUAUUAUGUUGAUGCAAAUACAAUUGCUACAACAAUAAAUGAACCAUCCGUAAUGGAAUCUAAUACUUCGGCUUCAAGCAAAACUAUUGAAAAUAAUUAUGUUACUGGCUCAGAAAAUAUUGUAAUUACUGAAAAAUCAUUAUUGAAUAAUUCUAAAACUGUCACUAUAAACAAAACUGUAAGUGAUCAAAACAUUACAGAGACUUUGAAUACCGUAUACGAUACUUACACAACUGAAGGAUAUUUUAUUACUACAAAUGAAGUUAUCACUACAACGAUCAACGAAGCAUCCGCUGUUGAAUAUAACAUUAGUAAAACAUUUGAAAACAAUCCUAGUACUCUUAUAGAAAACAAUAUAACUACUGAAAAAUCAUUGUUAAACUAUUCUGGAUCGAUAAUAGAUGAAACUGUUACUGAUCCAAGUGUAACGGAGAUUUUUAAUAACGGAUAUGAUACUUACACAACAGAAGGAUAUAAUAUCAUUCUUACAAAUAAUGCGAUUGCUACUACAGUCAACGAACCAUCGGAAGUUGCGCAUAAUAAAUCUUUAGCAAACAAUACCUUUGAACACAAUGAUGUUAAUGUAAUAGAAAACAGUGUAACUACUGAAAAGUCGUUGUUAAGUUCUUCUGAACCUGUGGCAAUAAAUGAAGCCGUAACUGACCAAACCGUAACGGAGAUUUUGAAUAACAAGUAUGAUACUUACACAACAGAAGGAUAUAUUGUUACAAAUAAUGAAAUUGCUGCUGCAGCCAACGAAAUAUCCGGAUUUGCGUACAAUAAAACCUCGGCAAACAAUACCUUUGACAACAACGUUAAUGUAACAAAAAACAGUAUAACUACUGAAAUAUCGCUGUUAAGUUCUUCAGAAUCUAUAGCAACAAACGAUGCUGUUACUGGACCAAACAUUAUGGAGAUUUUGAGUAGUACAUAUGAUGCAACAACAGAAAGCUAUAUUGUUGUUACAAAUGAUGCAAUUGGCGUUAUAGUCAACGAACCAACGAUAGAAGACCAUGAAACAUCCAUCAAAUAUAAUACUUUUGUCAACAAUGCGGACCUAUCUACUGCAAAAGGGAUUAUUGAUACUACAGUAGGUAUAUCUACAACAGUAGCAAAUAUAGAUAAUGUUAACACAGAUACCAUUGUUACCCAGUCUUUUGCAGAACUUAUUACUCCUGAACCAAGUCAAAGGUCUACUGAUAACAUUUUAUCCGAAAUUGCAACAGAAAAACUUACAGAAGCAAGUGACUUAAAAUUAAAUAUGUCUGGAAUUCCUUAUGAUAGCACAAGUGUGAAUGUUGCACAGGACUAUUUUACGACUGAAAUCACUUUAAAAGAUACUUUAACGAACAACAUAAAUGAUAUUGAAGAAAAUUUACAAACGACGCCAAGUAUACAGACGUCUUCUAUUCUUGUACUAGACACAGUGAAUGAUUCGAAUUUAGAAACCGGUGGAUUUCCACUAGAUGUAUUCGCGACUACUUCAACGAUAAAGACAGAAUCGAUUUUACCAGAAGAAGUGACAAUAUCAGUAUCUACAAAUGUACCUGCAAAUACUAGUCAAAUAAUAAACGAAUAUAACAAUGGAUUAUUAUCAAAUAAUGAAUUUACAACGAAUAGUUUUGUAAGUGAUAAUAGUUCACAUGAUACAGCUACACAAAAAAUUGAUAAUUUACAAGAUAUUGCAACUACGGCUGGAAAUAUAACAAACAAUAAUAUGAUAGCGGCUAAUACUAGUAACGUCGACUAUACAGAAGCAUCAAUAAUAAAUUUGGUGAACCCCGGUUUAGAUACUACGACAAUAUCAACAGAAAAUAAGCCUAAUGUUAUCGUAGAAAGCAGUGAUACACUUGUGAAAGCCACUGAGGGAACUGUUAAUGAAUAUAACUCCAUGGCAUCUACGUUUGAUGAAAUGGUGUCCACAGAUGCUACAAUGCCAGGAAGUGAAAUUAUCUCUACAACUCUCGAUGAAAGGAAUGCAACAGUUUCUUUAAAAGAAAGUACUGUGACUAAUUCAUUUGCAGACACGGGAAAAGAAUAUUCUACGCCUUUAGCCACUGACAGCACAAACCUUAAAAAUGUUACUGAAUCUAUGACUGAAAUUUCACUUGUGAUUAACGACUUCACGGAGAGUGUUGAUAAAGGUGGUGAUAAUUUACAAAAAGAAAUUAUAUAUAAUAAUAAUAGAACUGUGGAUAAUGUUAGCAUAAAUGAAACUAACUUUAAAAGUGAGAAUAUUAAUGAGGCUUCUAGGGCUGAUAUGACUGAUGAUUUGCAAUCACGACAAAAUAAUUUGUACGAUAAUAAUAAUGAAGGAAUUUUGAAAAACAACAAUCAGAAUGUUUCUGUUCAAAUAUCAAGUGGAUCUGCAGAUGUCAAUAAAACUACAAAAGAUUCAAUAAAUCAAAGCUCUCUAAUCGAAUCUAAACCAUUAUUAGAAGUAUUGGCAAAGGAAUAUUACGAAAAUGAAAACAACACUAAUAAUGCGCUAUUAGCGAAGAAUAUAGAAAAUGAAUCGAAUGUGGAUUCACAAACAAUUUCAUCACCACAAAAUACUAUACCAGUUAAAGAACAAAUAAAUAUAAGCAAUGGCUUACAAGCUAAGUCGGAAAAUAAUGCAGGGACACAGUCAUUGGUAAAUGACCAAAAGCUAAGUCAAGAUGUAGAGCUACAAAUUGACACCAUCAAUCAAACCAAAGUACAUUUUGAGGAAACAAAUGUUUUGCCUAUAUCAGAUAACGGUACGUUAGAUGAUUCAUCAACACUUCAACAAAAUGUUGGUCAAAACUCACAAGCCAGUAUAAUUAAUGUAAUCAAUAACAUCAUACCUGAUGCAAUAGUUAUAACAUUAACAUCGGAUGAAGGCUUAUUACAUUACUCUUCGGCACCUGAUCAAAAGCUAGAACAACAUGUUCCAGCUAGUGCCAUUAAUGUCAUAAACAAUAUAGAGUCACCUGUUGAAACAGUUGCUGCAUCGGCCACAGAUGAUAUUCCAUUACAUCAGUCUACAGCGCUUUAUGAAAUACUAGAUCAACAUGGCAGUACCAUUAAUGUGAUAAAUAAUAUAAAGUCUUCGGAUAUAACUGCAACAUCAAGCUCCGAUGAUAGUUUGUUAUACCCGUCUUCGGCCAGUGAUCAAAAGCUAGAUCAGUAUGCUCCAGCCAGUAUAAUAAAUGUGAUCAAUAAUAUUGAGUCUUCUGAUGUCAUUGUAACAACAAAAUCUGAGGAUAAUUCAUUACAUCAGACUUCAGGACUUGAUCAAACACUACACCAACGUCUGUCAGCUAGUACUAUCAACGUGAUCAAUAAUAUAAAAUCGUCUGAUGUAAUCGUAACGUCAUCAUCCGUUGAUGCUUCAAUGCAACAGUCUUUAGUACAUGAUCAAACUCUAGAUCAACAUGCAUCAACUAGUAAUAUUAAUGUGAUAAAUAAUAUAAAGUCCUCUGAUGUGUCAGUUACAACGAUAACGUCAGAUGGAACUCCUUUACAUUAUUCUCCAGAUUUGGAUCAAAUAGAAGCACCAACAAGUUUAAAUAAUGUAAUAAACAGCACAAUGCCUUCGGAGGUAACAGUUGAAACCUCAACAUUAGAUGACAGCUCAUUACAUCAUUCUUUGGCACUUGACCAAACGCUAGAUCCACAAGCAAUAAUUUCGACAAAGUCUACUGACGGCACAAAAGCAGCCUCGGAUGGCAGUAGUUCAGGCCAGUCAUUAGUAGUUGAUCAAAACAUAGUUCAAAAUGCGGAACUGUCUUCCGCAACACACACAGUUAAUACUACUGAUGUCACUUCUAACAAAACGACUAUUUUGGCAGUAAAUGAAGAUAGCAGAAACUCAAAUAAAGUAAUAGUGUCGUCUGGAAAUAUAAUCAGUAUAGUAUCAAACUAUGGCUCUAACCAACCACCGAUUGAUCAGAAGCUAAAUCAAGCAGCAGAAAUAAGUUUGACAGAAACAAUUGACAAGACUAGCGUGACUUUAGGUGACACAAAAAAAUCUCUUACAACAACUGAUAAUUUAAAACAAUCGUCGUUUUCUGAGGAUAAAGGUGUGGUGUCGCCAAAUAUUGGUACAAAUGUUGGUAACUCUGAAGGUACCACUAACGAGAAUUAUGAAAGAGAAAAUAAAACUUUGACGUUAGAUUCAUCAUCAUCUGUAUCGAUCGCGGAAGCCAAUGUACAUAAUCAUUCAGAAGGAGCCUUGGGGAAACCAAAAAUAUUACCAAAUAUUUCCAAUAAUGUAGGUGUUGCUACAACAGUCGAUGUCACUACUAUUUCACCGAGAAGCACUGUACAUUCUUCGACCCAGAGUUUGAACGUCGAUUCGAACAGUGGCGACAGUGUCAAAAAACCAGUAGAUACAUUUUGUUUCACCCGAAAUCGUGGAAGAUACGCUGAUCGAGAUGACUGUACGAAAUUCUACAUUUGUAUUGGAAAAACUGAGCCUAUUGUAGGAAAAUGUCCAGCAAACACAGUUUUCAGUGAAAUUAAGAAACAAUGUACCAAAAACAGAUCGCACUGCAUCAGGGGAAAUGAAUUUCAAUGUAUAUCUGAAGGUAGAUUCAGUGAUGUAUUCAGAAAUAAUGCUUAUUACAUAUGUAUAAGAAGACAUAACAAUUUCUAUAGAUUUAAAUUUCAAUGCCAAAAUGGAUAUUACUUGAACAAAACAACAGUGAAAUGCACUCAACAAAUACAAACAACGACACAAUCUUCUACUUCUGUGGACAAUAGCAACAGCGAGAAAAGUGUGAGUGAAGGUGUAAAUAGUACAGAAAAUAAAAGUAAAAAUGACAAAUACAGUCAAAAAGAAAGUAAAUCUGGUGAAGAAUUUGAAUGUAAAAAGGAAGGAAAGUUCCCUCAUCCGGAUAACUGUCGAAAGUAUUAUGUGUGUACGAAAACGAAGAAAUCCGAGUACCGUAUGAAGAGAAAGAGUUGCGAUUCCGAUGAAGUUUUCCACAAGAAUAAAAAGAAAUGCGUGGACGCAGAUAGUUAUGAAUGUUAGGAGGCGCUAGAUGAAAACAAAAUCCAUACUUUAAUCUUUCCAUUAGUUUCGUAACUAUGUUUUUAAUUAUAAAAUGUAAAUAAUUUGUUUGCUUUAUUGUUUAUAUCUUAAGAUGUUAAAAUUGUUAAUAUAAUUUAUUUCUGUCUGUAUUAAAAAUAAAAAACAA